CUUGUCUAUGUUGCUCGGGUCCUGAGCUCGGUCGCCAUGGCAGCCCGCGGGCUAGGGUUUCGGAGGCGAGGAGGGAGGGAGAGCUGAGCUGUGAAGGUUGGACGCGGCACGCGGCUAGGGAGUGGAAGGAGGAGGAGGGCGCGGUAGCUGUGGGAGGAGGACAGGACUCCUCUGCCGGUGCUUGGUGUGUAGAAGGAGCUCCGUGACGCCGUGGGCUACGAAUCUGGCCAAGGGCUAAGUUGCUCAGGUGGAUCUGAGGCCGGUGAUGGGGGAGGCGAGGUCGCCGACGGGGUUGGUGAGGCGAGGUCGCCGGCAGCUGGUUUUGGAUGGGAUCUCGGGGGCGAGGGGGCAGAGCAGGAAGACGACUGGUUUGGGUUUGGUUGGAG
This 386-nucleotide long non-coding RNA is filed under the name Hordeum vulgare. RNAcentral describes it as "long non-coding RNA (HVUL_LNC009449)". Lineage: Eukaryota; Viridiplantae; Streptophyta; Magnoliopsida; Poales; Poaceae. The record is from RNAcentral.